RNAcentral lists this ribosomal RNA (923 nucleotides) under Staphylococcus haemolyticus. RNAcentral's name for it is "bacterial SSU rRNA". It matches the Rfam family "Bacterial small subunit ribosomal RNA", at positions 25 to 929 of the family's 1533-position model. The record is from RNAcentral. Lineage: Bacteria; Bacillati; Bacillota; Bacilli; Caryophanales; Staphylococcaceae.
CAGGAUGAACGCUGGCGGCGUGCCUAAUACAUGCAAGUCGAGCGAACAGACAAGGAGCUUGCUCCUUUGACGUUAGCGGCGGACGGGUGAGUAACACGUGGGUAACCUACCUAUAAGACUGGGAUAACUUCGGGAAACCGGAGCUAAUACCGGAUAAUAUUUCGAACCGCAUGGUUCGAUAGUGAAAGAUGGUUUUGCUAUCACUUAUAGAUGGACCCGCGCCGUAUUAGCUAGUUGGUAAGGUAACGGCUUACCAAGGCGACGAUACGUAGCCGACCUGAGAGGGUGAUCGGCCACACUGGAACUGAGACACGGUCCAGACUCCUACGGGAGGCAGCAGUAGGGAAUCUUCCGCAAUGGGCGAAAGCCUGACGGAGCAACGCCGCGUGAGUGAUGAAGGUCUUCGGAUCGUAAAACUCUGUUAUUAGGGAAGAACAUACGUGUAAGUAACUAUGCACGUCUUGACGGUACCUAAUCAGAAAGCCACGGCUAACUACGUGCCAGCAGCCGCGGUAAUACGUAGGUGGCAAGCGUUAUCCGGAAUUAUUGGGCGUAAAGCGCGCGUAGGCGGUUUUUUAAGUCUGAUGUGAAAGCCCACGGCUCAACCGUGGAGGGUCAUUGGAAACUGGAAAACUUGAGUGCAGAAGAGGAAAGUGGAAUUCCAUGUGUAGCGGUGAAAUGCGCAGAGAUAUGGAGGAACACCAGUGGCGAAGGCGACUUUCUGGUCUGUAACUGACGCUGAUGUGCGAAAGCGUGGGGAUCAAACAGGAUUAGAUACCCUGGUAGUCCACGCCGUAAACGAUGAGUGCUAAGUGUUAGGGGGUUUCCGCCCCUUAGUGCUGCAGCUAACGCAUUAAGCACUCCGCCUGGGGAGUACGACCGCAAGGUUGAAACUCAAAGGAAUUGACGGGGACCCGCACAAG